CGGUUCUAUUUUGUUGGUUUUCGGAACCCCGAGGUAAUGAUUAAUAGGGACAGAUGGGGGCAUUCGUAUUGCGACGUUAGAGGUGAAAUUCUUGGAUCGUCGCAAGACGGACAGAAGCGAAAGCAUUUGCCAAAAAUGUUUUCAUUAAUCAAGAACGAAAGUUAGAGGUUCGAAGGCGAUCAGAUACCGCCCUAGUUCUAACCAUAAACGAUGCCAGCUAGCGAUCCGCCGAAGUUCCUCCGAUGACUCGGCG
Molecule: non-coding RNA, 253 nt
Filed under: Trichomalopsis sarcophagae
Lineage: Eukaryota; Metazoa; Arthropoda; Insecta; Hymenoptera; Pteromalidae
Description: Bacterial small subunit ribosomal RNA
Rfam family: Eukaryotic small subunit ribosomal RNA
Source: Rfam by way of RNAcentral